AUUGAACGCUGGCGGCAGGCCUAACACAUGCAAGUCGAGCGGAUGAAGGGAGCUUGCUCCUGGAUUCAGCGGCGGACGGGUGAGUAAUGCCUAGGAAUCUGCCUGGUAGUGGGGGAUAACGUCCGGAAACGGGCGCUAAUACCGCAUACGUCCUGAGGGAGAAAGUGGGGGAUCUUCGGACCUCACGCUAUCAGAUGAGCCUAGGUCGGAUUAGCUAGUUGGUGGGGUAAAGGCCUACCAAGGCGACGAUCCGUAACUGGUCUGAGAGGAUGAUCAGUCACACUGGAACUGAGACACGGUCCAGACUCCUAAGGGAGGCAGCAGUGGGGAAUAUUGGACAAUGGGCGAAAGCCUGAUCCAGCCAGGCCGCGUGUGUGAAGAAGGUCUUCGGAUUGUAAAGCACGUUAAGUUGGGAGGAAGGGCAGUAAGUUAAUACCUUGCUGUUUUGACGUUACCAACAGAAUAAGCACCGGCUAACUUCGUG
This 484-nucleotide ribosomal RNA is filed under the name uncultured bacterium. Its description in RNAcentral is "partial 16S ribosomal RNA". It matches the Rfam family "Bacterial small subunit ribosomal RNA", at positions 30 to 507 of the family's 1533-position model. The record is from RNAcentral.